Molecule: ribosomal RNA, 447 nt
Filed under: Triticum aestivum (bread wheat)
Lineage: Eukaryota; Viridiplantae; Streptophyta; Magnoliopsida; Poales; Poaceae
Description: partial small subunit ribosomal RNA
Source: RNAcentral
AUGCCAAUUGUUGGCGCCGCCUCCUCGCAGCGCCGCUCCUUCUUCUACCUCGAGUUGCCUCUCACAACUCUCUUCUCCCUCUCACACAAUUCUCUUGUGUUUUCUCUCAAGAACUCUCUCAUGAACACACACACACACACGCACGCAUAUACCAAGGAAGAGGAACGGCUUUGCCAGAGACACUCCCUUGGUGAACCACAAUGGCUACAUGGUUUCUCUGCUCAGCCCUCUCGGCCUCCUCUCUUCAUUACUCCACUGAAACAUAUAUAUACAAGGACCAUACACGCACUGGCCAGCCACCUCUCUCGGCAACUAAUCCCACUAAUCUAUGCAUGCACUAACAGCCUUAUCCUACUCCUGAAAUCACUCCAACGGCCACACGACUCGGCCAUAUCUAAAACUAGCUCCACGUCUCAACGUGGCCUACUACUUCAUGCACGAAGCUAG